CCUGGCUCAGAGCGAACGUUAGCGGCAGGCUUAACACAUGCAAGUCGAGCGAGAAAGGGGCUUCGGCUCCGAGUAAAGCGGCGGACGGGUGCGUAACACGUGGAUAAUCUGCCUCGUGGCGGGGGACAACAGUCCGAAAGGACUGCUAAUACCGCAUGUCAGGUCGGAAACUCCGGUUUCUGACGAAAAAGAGGGCACCCGCAAGGGGCUCUCACCACGAGAUGAGUCCGCGUCCCAUCAGCUAGUUGGCGGUGUAAUAGACCACCAAGGCUUAGACGGGUAGCUGGUCUGAGAGGAUGACCAGCCACACUGGGACUGAGACACGGCCCAGACUCCUACGGGAGGCAGCAGUGGGGAAUAUUGGACAAUGGGCGAAAGCCUGAUCCAGCCAUGCCGCGUGAGUGAUGAA
This 409-nucleotide ribosomal RNA is filed under the name uncultured bacterium. Its description in RNAcentral is "bacterial SSU rRNA". It matches the Rfam family "Bacterial small subunit ribosomal RNA", at positions 18 to 412 of the family's 1533-position model. The record is from RNAcentral.